UAGAACAGCACUCCAAGGUUCCAGAUCUCAG
This 31-nucleotide non-coding RNA is filed under the name Rattus norvegicus (Norway rat). Lineage: Eukaryota; Metazoa; Chordata; Mammalia; Rodentia; Muridae. The record is from RNAcentral.